UACGUAGGGGGCAAGCGUUGUCCGGAAUCAUUGGGCGUAAAGAGCGUGUAGGCGGCCCGGUAAGUCCGCUGUGAAAGUCCAGGGCUCAACCCUGGGAUGCCGGUGGAUACUGUCGGGCUCGAGUCCGGAAGAGGAGUGUGGAAUCCCUGGUGUAGCGGUGAAAUGCGCAGAUAUCAGGAGGAACACCAAUGGCGAAGGCAGCACUCUGGGACGUGACUGACGCUGAGACGCGAAAGCGUGGGGAGCAAACAGG
RNAcentral lists this ribosomal RNA (253 nucleotides) under uncultured bacterium. RNAcentral describes it as "partial 16S ribosomal RNA". It matches the Rfam family "Bacterial small subunit ribosomal RNA", at positions 524 to 776 of the family's 1533-position model. The record is from RNAcentral.